RNAcentral lists this ribosomal RNA (1247 nucleotides) under 'Beta vulgaris var. cicla' phytoplasma. RNAcentral's name for it is "bacterial SSU rRNA". It matches the Rfam family "Bacterial small subunit ribosomal RNA", at positions 153 to 1399 of the family's 1533-position model. Lineage: Bacteria; Bacillati; Mycoplasmatota; Mollicutes; Acholeplasmatales; Acholeplasmataceae. The record is from RNAcentral.
GAAACGACUGCUAAGACUGGAUAGGAAAAGUAAAGGCAUCUUUACUUUUUUAAAAGACCUUCUUUGAAGGUAUACUUAAGGAGGGGCUUGCGACACAUUAGUUAGUUGGCAGGGUAAAGGCCUACCAAGACUAUGAUGUGUAGCUGGACUGAGAGGUUGAACAGCCACAUUGGGACUGAGACACGGCCCAAACUCCUACGGGAGGCAGCAGUAGGGAAUUUUCGGCAAUGGAGGAAACUCUGACCGAGCAACGCCGCGUGAACGAUGAAGUACCUCGGUAUGUAAAGUUCUUUUAUUAAGGAAGAAAAAAGAGUGGAAAAACUCCCUUGACGGUACUUAAUGAAUAAGCCCCGGCUAAUUAUGUGCCAGCAGCCGCGGUAAUACAUAAGGGGCGAGCGUUAUCCGGAAUUAUUGGGCGUAAAGGGUGCGUAGGCGGUUUAAUAAGUCUAUAGUUUAAUUUCAGCGCUUAACGCUGUUGUGCUAUAGAAACUGUUUUACUAGAGUGAGUUAGAGGCAAGCGGAAUUCCAUGUGUAGCGGUAAAAUGCGUAAAUAUAUGGAGGAACACCAGAGGCGUAGGCGGCUUGCUGGGACUUUACUGACGCUGAGGCACGAAAGCGUGGGGAGCAAACAGGAUUAGAUACCCUGGUAGUCCACGCCGUAAACGAUGAGUACUAAGUGUCGGGUAAAACCGGUACUGAAGUUAACACAUUAAGUACUCCGCCUGAGUAGUACGUACGCAAGUAUGAAACUUAAAGGAAUUGACGGGACUCCGCACAAGCGGUGGAUCAUGUUGUUUAAUUCGAAGAUACACGAAAAACCUUACCAGGUCUUGACAUUUUCUUGCGAAGUUAUAGAAAUAUAAUGGAGGUUAUCAGGAAAACAGGUGGUGCAUGGUUGUCGUCAGCUCGUGUCGUGAGAUGUUAGGUUAAGUCCUAAAACGAGCGCAACCCUUGUCGUUAAUUGCCAGCAUGUAAUGAUGGGGACUUUAAUGAGACUGCCAAUGAAAAAUUGGAGGAAGGUGGGGAUUACGUCAAAUCAUCAUGCCCCUUAUGAUCUGGGCUACAAACGUGAUACAAUGGUUGAUACAAAGAGUAGCUGAAACGCGAGUUCUUAGCCAAUCUCAAAAAAUCAAUCUCAGUUCGGAUUGAAGUCUGCAACUCGACUUCAUGAAGUUGGAAUCGCUAGUAAUCGCGAAUCAGCAUGUCGCGGUGAAAUCGUUCUCGGGGUUUGUACACACCGCCCGUCA